Octodon degus (degu) is the source of this 186-nucleotide small nuclear RNA. RefSeq annotates it as U2 spliceosomal RNA. The transcript has a single exon. Lineage: Eukaryota; Metazoa; Chordata; Mammalia; Rodentia; Octodontidae. The record is from RefSeq and is a predicted model, not a curated record.
AUCGCUUCUCGGCGUUUUGGCUAAGAUCAAGUGUUGUGUCUGUUCUUAUCCGUUUAUUUAUUUAUUUUUUUAAAAUGUUUCCAUUAUUUCUUUUUUUAUUUUGGUCAGCUCAGCCCACCCUGGGGGCGGGGCUGGCAUGGCUUGUGGUGCUGGGGAUCGAACCAAGGUCCCUGCAUGCUUGCCUAA